AUUUCAUGUCCCUCAUGAAUCAGAUCAAGCAUAGUUCUAGAAAAGUGAUGGAAAUAAAAUAAGAGACAAAAAUCUUUUUGGAUUUUGCAUUUAUAACUUUUUUUUAUUUUUCAAAUACAAAAGAAGAAGUACUAUAACAAAAGAUUCGAAAAUCUUAACUAGAUUGACAGACUCGAUACUAUUUUACAUGACUAAAAAUUGAAAAAUAACAUAAGAUAGACUAAAAAAUAGAAAGUUCCCUCAAGCAGCCGUUGCCUGCAAUGGUCUUGACUAGAAUGAUCCUAGGUAUUAGUCAUACUCAAGCUCUAGAAAAUUAAUCCAUACCUGAAUGAGAAAAAUAAGAUCAAAUAGAGUUAGUGACUGAAGACACAUGCGACGGCACGACAUCUUCUAUUGGAUAUAUGCAAGACAUGAUUAGGCUACUUUUGCAAAAUUAACAUAUGUGGCCAACGAUGGCUAUUAGUGCAAACUCAACAAAUGUGACCUCAAAUACAUGAUAAAUACCACACUAAGGCUUAUAUGAAUUCAAAUACACAAUAAUCAUGGCCCAAAAUUAGCUUGCAGAAAUAACUCAUUUUGCAAAAAUAGCCUAGCCUACGUAGAAGAAAGUUGCUAAAGAUGUAAACUCAAAAGGACGGACCUUAAAGUAAUAUGACACCUAGUUGUGGACCCAAAAUCCAAAGACAUGGGUAAUUGAACCAUUUUUUGCAAAAAUGACCACAUGUUGCAAGAAUAGACGAUGUGGCCAAAAGUGGCUAGACAUGCAAGAUUUGGCUAAGACCCCGCAAAGCCAAUAACCUAAGACUCACUAGGAAGACCGGACCCUAUGUGGGUUGCCUACGUAUCUCGCCCCGAAAGGACGAGAACCAGGUUCGCGUAGUUCGGGAAGAUUAGAUAUGGCAGAAAGCAUUAAACAAAAUGCAACUAAUUAAUUUGAAAAAACUAUAUCUUUUUGUGAAUUUGAAAAAUGAUGGAAAAUGUAAAAUAUUUUGGGUUUUCUUUAUUAAUAUCUUUUGAAAUUUUGGGAAAUAAUGGAGAAGCACAAAAUCUUUUUAAAUUUUCUGUUUUCAUUUUUUGUGAAUUUAUGGGAAAAAGAUGGCAAAGUGUAAUUUUUUUUGUAUUUUUGUAUUUUCAUUUUUUUGAAUUUUUGAAAAGUGAUGGAAAAGUGUAAAAUAUUUUUUUUGAUUUUCUAUUUACAAUUUUUUUUUUGAAUUUUGAAAGACUAUGCAAGAAAAAUGCGAGUGAGCCCUGCUUACUUUAUUUUUCACCAUUCUUUCCAAAUAUCGGUCUGCCAAAUGACCUUUUACCCUCAAAGAUGCAGCGUGUAUCACAUAUGGAUGAUUGAAUGUCUUUUUGGGCAACGGACUCAUUUUUGCAAAAUUUGGAUAAGCUUCCUACAAAGAGACACAGUGCCUGGGACCGAGCCACACUAGGUUCGAAUGACAUGAUGCAAAUAAAAAUGACCUAAAGGCUGACCUAUGGUUGAGGUUCACUAGACAAGGAAAUUCGGGGCGGCACAUGGUCCAUGGCGGCUACUUUAGCUGUCCGCCCACUCCACGCUCCCACGCCACCCCCUAAAGACACGGGUGACUCACAAAAAGGCCGUGUACGCUCAAACGUACUCUGAAAGACUUGUUGCAGAAAGAAGACCCGGAGUUAUGCAAAUGAUAACAGUUAUGAAGCAGUAAACACAUAAAGUAAAACUGUAAACACACAAGCAGCUAAUAAAUAAUAAAAGACAUAAAAAAUAAAAAUCAAAUAAAAAACAAAACACAUAAAAACCUCAAACGAACAUUGUAAAAGCCAACAAGAUCAAGUACUAGCUCGAACCUACAAGUCCCCAGCAGAGUCUCCAGAGAUGUCACACCCCUUUUUUAAACAAAACUCACUAAACCCUCUUAAAACAAGUAAACAAAUUUUAUAAAAGCUUGUCAAGGGUUUUCCAAUAUAGAAAGUUACCAAAAUUUGUGUUUAAAAGGAAUAACUCAGAGUCGCCACCUGACAUUUGAUUUCGGUGUGCCAGGCCACCAUUUUUUAGAAAUAAUUUUCCUUUAGAAACACUUUUGACUCAAGACUAAGUCUGCACCAGAGAUUCAGGUAAGGGGGUUCAUUUGACUCGGAGAGAAGGUGGUAGGCACUCCCUAAGUCCCUUGAAGGUCACGGUUGCGUACUCGAUCUAGUUGGCUUUUACGAUAUUCAAAUUGAGGUAAAACACACAAAAGAAAACAAACAUCCAAAAGAAUUUCGAGGCCGCCCCCACCUAAUAAAAGAAAAAAUAAAAAUAAAAUAAAAUCCUAUGCUAGCCUAUACUAUACUUCCUCCACGGAAUACGCCAUGGCCUCCAAUUACAUAGUACUUCGGGGUAUUUCCCGAGUUAAAAUAUUUACAAAGUUCACGAGGCAUUCCCCGGAUGAAUUUAUCUAAGGAAUGACCUCAUCGCAAAAUCAAAAGUAAAUGAAAAAUCCUAAGAUUUCCUACGCAUGUGUGGUCGGCCUAAAGCAUGCUCCAAGCGGGUAAAUAUGAAAAACAAAAAUAAAUAAAGCUAAAUAAAACAUUCAUCCCAUGUGUGACUUUCUAAUGACCUUUCAUUUUAUUUAAUUAAACCAUGCCCCGCAACUCAAUCACGAUUCAAUCGAUGACCAUUCUUGACCGUAUGGAUGACGAGCACAUAUUUAAUUUUAACUUAGUUAACAUUUCUCACAGUCUGUUUAAUUAAGAUGGCCUAAAUCACCAGAUCGUUACUGUACUUUGAUCACAAUCUAACAAACACUCAACCUCAAAAUGAAAGAUUAACAAAACAAGUUCAAAUUAAGUCAACCAAUCCAUAGCAAAGCUGAAAAACAAAUUUCGAAUAGGAAUAGAAUCACAGAUUGUUUGAAACAAGAUCUCAUACACCAUAUUAAGUUGAAAGAGCAAGAAAUGGACCUUUGUGAGUAGGCUUUCGCUUACAACAACGACAAUACGAACAAGAGCCGAAAUCGAAAACCUCGAUUCGAAGCUUGCCGAAACUCGAUGAACCUCGAACAACACCUCAAAAUUUAAUCUCCGGAAGUUGUUGUACAGAACUAAAUAUUGUCUCUAACUGUCGAUCGCAAACUGAAGUUUGCAGGCUUAUUAGUAUGGACUGUAUCUCUUCCGAUUUUCACAUUUUUAAUUAAGUCAUCAUGACUGGAUGUUAUGGGUGUAUGGAGAGAGAAAUCUCUGUUAAGAAGAAGCUAAAAGGUGAUGGAUUCCGGAGAGUUUUAGGUUGAAGAUGGAGAAGAGAGCAGCGGCGUUUCAGGGGGUGCAAGAGUGGUUGUUGUUGACGGUUAAGCGAUGAAGAAGAGAGGUCUUGGAGCGGCUGGUCCGUUGUGAAGAAGAUGAGCAGCGGUGGCGGCUUAGGAUCUGUGAAGAGUGACGAUGGAGAUGAGGGAGGGAGCGGCGGCGGCGGUACUUUUGGUGGUGAAUCGGCGGCUGGGAGGUUGUCUUGUGUAGGUGUGCUAAGGUUAGGUUUUUGUCCAUGUUUUGUCCAUUGUUCUCGUCUUGAAGAAGAAUGAGAGGUCUACGGUUUUUUUAGGUUUAAUUAAAGGGUAUUGGGCUAAGGUAAUUGUGGGUUACAUGAGUUAGAAAGAUUUGAGCUUGCUAAAAUUGGGCCUAGAUUUUAAUUGGACUAUAAAUUGGGCUAAGAAAAAGCUAAAAAUUUAAUUUUCUUUUAAAAAUACUUAUAAGAAG
Molecule: long non-coding RNA, 3711 nt
Filed under: Nicotiana benthamiana
Lineage: Eukaryota; Viridiplantae; Streptophyta; Magnoliopsida; Solanales; Solanaceae
Description: long non-coding RNA (NBEN_LNC028331)
Source: RNAcentral